RNAcentral lists this ribosomal RNA (451 nucleotides) under uncultured bacterium. Its description in RNAcentral is "bacterial SSU rRNA". It matches the Rfam family "Bacterial small subunit ribosomal RNA", at positions 10 to 507 of the family's 1533-position model. The record is from RNAcentral.
AGUUUGAUCCUGGCUCAGAACGAACGCUGGCGGCAUGCCUAACACAUGCAAGUCGAACGAGACCUUCGGGUCUAGUGGCGCACGGGUGCGUAACGCGUGGGAAUCUGCCCUUGGGUUCGGAAUAACAGUUAGAAAUGACUGCUAAUACCGGAUAAUGUCUUCGGACCAAAGAUUUAUCGCCCAGGGAUGAGCCCGCGUAGGAUUAGCUAGUUGGUGAGGUAAAGGCUCACCAAGGCGACGAUCCUUAGCUGGUCUGAGAGGAUGAUCAGCCACACUGGGACUGAGACACGGCCCAGACUCCUACGGGAGGCAGCAGUGGGGAAUAUUGGACAAUGGGCGAAAGCCUGAUCCAGCAAUGCCGCGUGAGUGAUGGAGGCCUUAGGGUUGUAAAGCUCUUUUACCCGGGAUGAUAAUGACAGUACCGGGAGAAUAAGCCCCGGCUAACUCCGUG